UGUUAAAUCUAUCGGCUCAACCGGUAGCUGCGGCGGAAACUGUAGUUCUUGAGUGAAGUAGAGGCAGGCGGAAUUCCUAGUGUAGCGGUGAAAUGCGUAGAUAUUAGAAGGAACACCAGUGGCGAAGGCGGCCUGCUGGGCUUUAACUGACGCUGAGGCUCGAAAGUGUGGGGAGCAAACAGGAUUAGAUACCCUGGUAGUCCACACUGUAAACGAUGAUUACUAGGUGUGGGGGGACUGACCCCUUCCGUGCCGGAGUAAACACAAUAAGUAAUCCACCUGGGGAGUACGGCCGCAAGGUUGAAACUCAAAGGAAUUGACGGGGGCCCGCACAAGCAGUGGAGUAUGUGGUUUAAUUCGAAGCAACGCGAAGAACCUUACCAGGUCUUGACAUCGUGCGCAUAGUAUAGAGAUAUAUGAAGUCCUUCGGGACGCAUAGACAGGUGGUGCAUGGUUGUCGUCAGCUCGUGUCGUGAGAUGUCGGGUUAAGUCCCUCAACGAGCGCAACCCUUACGAUUAGUUGCUACGCAAGAGCACUCUAAUAGGACUGCCGUUGACAAAACGGAGGAAGGUGGGGAUGACGUCAAAUCAUCAUGCCCCUUAUGACCUGGGCUACACACGUACUACAAUGGUGAUCAACAGAGGGAAGCAAAACGGCGACGUGGAGCAAAUCCCUAAAAGUCAUCUCAGUUCGGAUCGCAGGCUGCAACCCGCCUGCGUGAAGUUGGAAUUGC
RNAcentral lists this ribosomal RNA (734 nucleotides) under uncultured Bacillota bacterium. Its description in RNAcentral is "bacterial SSU rRNA". It matches the Rfam family "Bacterial small subunit ribosomal RNA", at positions 593 to 1335 of the family's 1533-position model. The record is from RNAcentral. Lineage: Bacteria; Bacillati; Bacillota.